This 344-nucleotide ribosomal RNA is filed under the name uncultured eukaryote. RNAcentral's name for it is "SSU rRNA". It matches the Rfam family "Eukaryotic small subunit ribosomal RNA", at positions 587 to 972 of the family's 1831-position model. The record is from RNAcentral.
AGCUCCAAUAGCGUAUAUUAAAGUUGUUGCAGUUAAAAAGCUCCUAGUUGGACCUUAGGCAAGGCGACCUUACUCGGAUCGUUGCGCCUCACCUUCGGGGAGCUUGUCGUGCGUCGGUGCGCUAGGGAACCGAGCCUUACCUUGAGGAAAUUAGAGUGUUUAAAGCAGGCUUAUGGUUGAAUACGUUAGCAUGGAAUGACAUGGAUAGGACUUUGAUUCUAUUUUGUUGGUUUGAGGACCAAAGUAAUGAUUAAUAGGGACAGUUUGGGGCAUUAGUAUUCUAUAGUCAUCUUGAAUUUAUAGACGACCAGCUAAUGCAAAAGCAUUUGCCAAGUGUUUUUUCA